UUAGAGGAAGUAAAAGUCGUAACAAGGUUUCCGUAGGUGAACCUGCGGAAGGAUCAUUACCGAGUGAGGGUCUCCCGGUGAGCCCGAUCUCUCCACCCGUGUUUACCGUACUGUGUUGCUUUGGCGGGCCCGCCGUUCAGGCCGCCGGGGGGCAGGAUCGAUGCCCUGCCCCCGGGCCCGUGUCCGCCGGAGAUGAGGGAAAAACUCUUGCUGUCGGAUAUGCUGUCUGAGUGGAUAACAGAAGAAAUCAUUCAAAACUUUCAACAAUGGAUCUCUUGGUUCCGGCAUCGAUGAAGAACGCAGCGAAAUGCGAUAAGUAAUGUGAAUUGCAGAAUUCCGUGAAUCAUCGAAUCUUUGAACGCAUAUUGCGCCCUCUGGCAUUCCGGAGGGCAUGCCUGUCCGAGCGUCAUUGCCAUCCCUCAAGCCCGGCUUGGGUGUUGGGCCGUCGUCCCCUGGGGGACGGGCCCGAAAGGCAGUGGCGGCGCCGGGUUCGGUCCUGGAGCGUAUGGGGCUUUAUUACUCCGCUCUGCAGGAUCGACCGGGGCCAGCCUCCCUGGUCUUCCCCCUCUUAGGUUGACCUCGGAUCAGGUAGGGAUACCCGCUGAACUUAAGCAUAUCAAUAA
Molecule: ribosomal RNA, 623 nt
Filed under: Elaphomyces persoonii
Lineage: Eukaryota; Fungi; Ascomycota; Eurotiomycetes; Eurotiales; Elaphomycetaceae
Description: eukaryotic LSU rRNA
Rfam family: 5.8S ribosomal RNA (bases 256-409)
Source: RNAcentral